AGUAUUUCAGAAGAUUUCUGUUGCGUGUCGUCCCUGCACAGAGAGCCAUGCUAGUCUUCUCUGCAUUGUUCCAAUUUAAAUAUAUGUUCAGGAAUGAAC
RNAcentral lists this small nuclear RNA (99 nucleotides) under Ancylostoma caninum (dog hookworm). The record is from RNAcentral. Lineage: Eukaryota; Metazoa; Nematoda; Chromadorea; Rhabditida; Ancylostomatidae.